GACGAACGCUGGCGGCGUGCUUAACACAUGCAAGUCGAACGGAAAGGCCCUGCUUUUGUGGGGUGCUCGAGUGGCGAACGGGUGAGUAACACGUGAGUAACCUGCCCUUGACUUUGGGAUAACUUCAGGAAACUGGGGCUAAUACCGGAUAGGAGCUCCUGCUGCAUGGUGGGGGUUGGAAAGUUUCGGCGGUUGGGGAUGGACUCGCGGCUUAUCGGCUUGUUGGUGGGGUAGUGUCUUACCAAGGCUUGGACGGGUAGCCGGGCUGAGCUGGUGACAGGCCCAGUUGGACUGGGACUGAGACACGGCCCAGACGGGGAGGCGGGGCAGGGGUGUGGAACAUUGGGGGAGGAGCCAUAUCCCGAUCCAGCAGUGCGGGGGGAGUGAGGAUGGGGUUAGUAGUCCACUUCGCCUUGAGCCGGGGUGAGAAUGACGUUACCGGGAAAAGAAGCUCCGGCUAACUCCGUG
Molecule: ribosomal RNA, 468 nt
Filed under: uncultured bacterium
Lineage: Bacteria
Description: partial 16S ribosomal RNA
Rfam family: Bacterial small subunit ribosomal RNA
Source: RNAcentral